RNAcentral lists this ribosomal RNA (253 nucleotides) under uncultured bacterium. RNAcentral's name for it is "partial 16S ribosomal RNA". It matches the Rfam family "Bacterial small subunit ribosomal RNA", at positions 524 to 776 of the family's 1533-position model. The record is from RNAcentral.
UACGGAGGGGGUUAGCGUUGUUCGGAAUGACUGGGCGUAAAGCGCGCGUAGGCGGGCUGGAAAGUUGGGGGUGAAAUCCCGGGGCUCAACCCCGGAAUGGCCUUCAAAACUCCCAGCCUAGAGUUCGAGAGAGGUGAGUGGAAUUCCGAGUGUAGAGGUGAAAUUCGUAGAUAUUCGGAGGAACACCAGUGGCGAAGGCGGCUCACUGGCUCGACACUGACGCUGAGGUGCGAAAGCGUGGGGAGCAUACAGG